Molecule: transfer RNA, 74 nt
Filed under: Oscillospiraceae bacterium
Lineage: Bacteria; Bacillati; Bacillota; Clostridia; Eubacteriales; Oscillospiraceae
Description: tRNA-His
Rfam family: tRNA
About the family: Transfer RNA (tRNA) molecules are approximately 80 nucleotides in length.
Source: RNAcentral
GUGGGAAUAGCUCAGUUGGUUAGAGCGUUGGAUUGUGGUCCCAAAGGUCGUGGGUUCGAUUCCCAUUUCCCACC